GGGGAUAUGGCUCAGUGGUAAAGCUCCUGUUUUGCGUGCAUGAAGUCCCCGGUUCGAUUCC
RNAcentral lists this transfer RNA (61 nucleotides) under Cricetulus griseus (Chinese hamster). It matches the Rfam family "tRNA", at positions 1 to 60 of the family's 71-position model. Rfam says of the family: Transfer RNA (tRNA) molecules are approximately 80 nucleotides in length. Their secondary structure includes four short double-helical elements and three loops (D, anti-codon, and T loops). The record is from Rfam by way of RNAcentral. Lineage: Eukaryota; Metazoa; Chordata; Mammalia; Rodentia; Cricetidae.